This 236-nucleotide unclassified non-coding RNA is filed under the name uncultured fungus. Its description in RNAcentral is "sequence contains ITS1". The record is from RNAcentral. Lineage: Eukaryota; Fungi.
UUAACUAUUAUAUAGUUUCUCAGACAUCACUAAAGACAUAGUUUUAGGUCCUCUGGGGCGGGUUAGCGCCCCAAAGCAACAUGAGUAGAUAUUCAAGGGUUAUGAAGGGGCCCUAAGCUCCACCGGGCCACAGCUGGGGCUGGGAGGGAUUACUCCCUCGACCAGGCGCCCAGUUGGGUCCGGCUUCACGUCAGGCUUCAUUUGUAAUGAUCCUUCCGCAGGUUCACCUACGGAAA